Molecule: ribosomal RNA, 448 nt
Filed under: uncultured bacterium
Lineage: Bacteria
Description: bacterial SSU rRNA
Rfam family: Bacterial small subunit ribosomal RNA
Source: RNAcentral
AACGCGAAGAACCUUACCAAGGCUUGACAUAUACCGGAAACGGCCAGAGAUGGUCGCCCCCUUGUGGUCGGUAUACAGGUGGUGCAUGGUUGUCGUCAGCUCGUGUCGUGAGAUGUUGGGUUAAGUCCCGCAACGAGCGCAACCCUCGUUCUGUGUUGCCAGCAUGCCUUUCGGGGUGAUGGGGACUCACAGGAGACUGCCGGGGUCAACUCGGAGGAAGGUGGGGACGACGUCAAAUCAUCAUGCCCCUUAUGUCUUGGGCUGCACACGUGCUACAAUGGCCGGUACAAUGAGCUGCGAUACCGCGAGGUGGAGCGAAUCUCAAAAAGCCGGUCUCAGUUCGGAUUGGGGUCUGCAACUCGACCCCAUGAAGUCGGAGUUGCUAGUAAUCGCAGAUCAGCAUUGCUGCGGUGAAUACGUUCCCGGGCCUUGUACACACCGCUACAGU